AAAGUCGUAACAAGGUUUCCGUAGGUGAACCUGCGGAAGGAUCAUUAUUGAAUCCUCAGGAUGUUGCUGGCCUUUCGGGGCAUGUGCACUCCUACCUUUCAAUACACCUGUGAACUUAUUGUAGGUGGCAUAUGUCACCUAUGUUUUUACAAACCCCUUAACAAGUUAUUGAAUGUCUAAUAAAUGGCUUUUGCCAAUAAACAUUAAUACAACUUUCAACAAUGGAUCUCUUGGUUCUC
This 239-nucleotide unclassified non-coding RNA is filed under the name Basidiomycota sp. RNAcentral describes it as "partial contains small subunit ribosomal RNA, internal transcribed spacer 1, and 5.8S ribosomal RNA". The stretch from base 1 to 47 matches the Rfam family "Eukaryotic small subunit ribosomal RNA", at positions 1785 to 1831 of the family's 1831-position model. The record is from RNAcentral. Lineage: Eukaryota; Fungi; Basidiomycota.